UCCUAUCAAAUAUUGUUUAUCGUACAUCUAUCCCUCCAAAACUAACACAUAUCCACCCAGUGCACACGAACAAGCAAAUAGGGCAACGCAUGUUCAAGAAAACAUAAUAAAAAAACAUAUGAAUAUAAACUAAUAAUAUGCAUAUAUAAAAAUAAAAAGUAAAAAAAAGAAAUUAGAAUGACAUAAAUUUUAUUAAAAUAUAAUGGAAAUGUAUAUAUUAAUAGAUAUUAAAUGAAAUAAAAAAUAUACAAAACAUAAGAAUUGAAAGAGAUAGCAUAUAAAUUUAAAAUAAAAAAUCUAAUAUGAGAAUAUAAAAAAUAAAAAAUAAAACUUAGAAACUAACAAAAAUGAUAAUUGAGCAUAGAGAGUAAACUAAAAAUGCAAAACAAGAUACUGCUUAAAAACACAGAAAACGAGAUCUAUAAAACGAAAAAUUAAAUAUAAAUACAAUCAUUACAAAAAAUAUAAAGUAAAAACACCAAGAAAUGAUUCUAAUUAGCUUGUUUUCAUAACUAUAACUAUCAGCUUGCUAGCUUGUCCGAGCAAAUGAUGCAAUGUUGAAAAAUAUUAUUUCUUUUCCGAACCUUAUCUCUCUCGUUCAAAGAAAUUGUGAACACAUCUAGAAGCGUAAAGUUUUUUUUCUUCCUUAGGUAUAAAAAAGAAUAUUUUUUUUCUUGUGGGUAUCUCAAAUAAGAUAUAAAGAGAAAAGAUUUAGACACAAAAGAAAAUUGAUAGAGAAUAUUGUGGGGUGGAUAUAUAAAAAAAAAAUGCGACAGUAAUGAUAGGUUUCAAUAUGGAUUUGAGGCAUAGUUGUGCUUUUCAAAUGAUGAGAAAUUUAAGGUUAGUGAAUAAGGAAGGAUUUCCCUAGUUUAAAAAGAAGUCAUAGCCUCUAGUACUCAUGUUAAGGAAUGGUGCAUGCAUGUAAAGGGAAUGUGUUUAUUUAUCGAUAUAUCAAAGGGUAUAAAAUUAAAAGAAAAUAUAUUAUAAUAUCGUUUAAUGUGAUUGAGGUGAUUCUAGGUUUCAAUUAAAAUAGGGAUUUUUGUAUGGAGUUAUAGUGAUAGAUGAUGUAUAUGUUUAAAAUUUAGGACGAAAAAGGAUAUGAGGUCAAGAAGAAAUUAGGAUGGAAAGUGUUUGCACCCUAUGUCGGCAACCAAAAUGAUCCACUGAGUGGGCACCACGUGGACAGGUUGUACAUAAAGAUAAGGUGUAGAGUUGUCACGACUGCUAUCAAACUAAAUAGAAGGUUUAGUCAUUCUAGGCUAAAUGACCAUAAGAGGAAUCAAUAGUGCAGAUCGAACAAUGCUAGAACUUUGUGAAAUCAGUAAUAGUUUUAGCUUAUGGUC
Molecule: long non-coding RNA, 1343 nt
Filed under: Phoenix dactylifera (date palm)
Lineage: Eukaryota; Viridiplantae; Streptophyta; Magnoliopsida; Arecales; Arecaceae
Description: long non-coding RNA (PDAC_LNC007985)
Source: RNAcentral